CCCCUGCCCCCCCUGUGCCCCCAGACUCUUUUUCCGCCGGCACUACCCCGUGAGCAGCGUCACCCACUGCGGCACCGACCCCCAGGAGCGCAGGUGGGCGAACCCCGACGGGACCACGGCCAGGAUUUUCGGGUUCGUGGCGAAGCAGGCGGGGGCCCCGGGGGGGGGCAACGCGUGCCACGUGUUCGCGGAGCUGGACCCCGAGCAGCCGGCGGGGGCCAUCGUCACCUUCGUCACCAAAGUCCUGCUGGGCACGCGGCACUGAGGGACACCGGGGACCCCCCCCGCACCCCAAAACCCAGCUGGGGACUCCCAAAGCCCCCCGAGGCAGGGGGGGCUCAGGGGCACCCUCAAAACCCAGCGGGACUGCCCCCCCCUCUUCACCGAGGUCCUGCUGGGGACACGACACUGAGGGACCCCCAGAACGCCCUGGCACCCCCAAAACCCCCUGGAGUCCUCUGUGCCAAGGGGGGGACACACGUAACUGACCCCCCCCACCAUCAUCACCCUCAUGAACACCCCCAAGCCCCCCCAAAACCACCCCCGGACCCCCAAACCCUCCCAGGCACCCCUGAUUUGAGGGAGCAGGAGGGGACCCCCACAAUCGCCCCUCCCACCAUCUUCAGCACCAAAGUCCUACUGGGGACCCCCAAACUCCCCCUGAGACCCCCCCCAGACCCCUCAAAUACUCCCCAGACCCUCCAACCGCCCUUGAGGGCCCCCCAAAACCUCCUACACCCCCCCAACCACCCCCUGAAGUGAAGAAAAGGGGGCACAGGGACACCCCCUGCAAUCUGGGGGGUCCUGGAGGAACCCCAAUAAAUCCACAUUUAUUUUGGUGUAAGAAA
This is a long non-coding RNA of Passer domesticus (house sparrow), 848 nucleotides long. RefSeq lists it as uncharacterized. The transcript has 3 exons. The record is from RefSeq and is a predicted model, not a curated record. Lineage: Eukaryota; Metazoa; Chordata; Aves; Passeriformes; Passeridae.